This 1173-nucleotide long non-coding RNA is filed under the name Equus caballus (horse). Its description in RNAcentral is "lncRNA (ENSECAG00000054756.1)". Lineage: Eukaryota; Metazoa; Chordata; Mammalia; Perissodactyla; Equidae. The record is from RNAcentral.
AACAGCUCCAAAUAGCCUGGUGUCCUAUUUUUCCUCAGGGGAUGGAUACCUUAGCCACCUUCCCUGGCCUGGAAUGCAAAGAAUGCCACUUCAUUUGAGUGAAUAGAGAAUUCUUGGUAAAGGAAAACAAUCCGUCUCUCUCCGUCCCUCUUUCUCUCUCAUAAAUCAUAAAUCACAGACAAGAUGGAGGUCUUUCUGACAAUACCUAGAGAAAAAAAAAAGUCGUCUUUUAGAAUCACCCAAGCACAGGCCUGGCAGUGGAGUGUCUACCUCCAGGGCCCACAGACGACCUCCCACAACCAAGCUGACGGUGAGCCUGACCUUGAGAUCCCGCACAAGAUGAGAACCCUGAGGCUCAGCGAGGUGAAGUAACUUGCCCAAGACUCGCCACCAGAAAGAAAGGGCUGCCAUUCAAACCCAGGCAGCCUAUUUCCAGACCCCCCGCUCGACACCGCCGUGUCGCGCUGCCUCACCUGGGGAGCACGAGGAAGUAUUCUGGAUAUUUACAGACUUGAGCCAAAGUCUCCAAAAGCUUUGGUUUUACUUUAGCAGCCAAGGUGGAGAAAGCAGUUCAGAAAUAGUUGUUUAUGCCUCAACAUUUGGUCCACAUUCCUAAGCCCUUCUUAGUUUUGUCUCAAUUCAUCUUUGAAAGGUGAAGUGAGUAUAGGACGAUCUUCCUUCAGGGAACUCCUAGAAAGUUCUAUUCUUUCCUCAAGUGGAAAUUCCAGGAAACUCGACAGGAAAAACCUGGAAUAUACCUGGAAGAGAACCAGGAGAUCACCCUAAUAAGAAGAAUGAAGGGGGUGCAGUUGGGCCUCGUGCUGCCAGAGGAGAAUGCUGGGUCCAGCUCUCGCAGCACUAAGAACCAAGGACUGAUUCAAGUCAGUGCGAGUGAUAGAGAGCAUUGCAGGACACUUGUGAAAACAGGGCUCCAGAUGAGCCCUGGAGCCUGGCUGCUGCAAAGACUUCCCUCUUCCUGGGACCUUCACAGGCACUUCCUAGCCUCCCUUGCAGCUCAGUGUGGGAUCGUGUAACCAAUACCGGGCCUGGCCCUCAGAAACAUCCCUUCAACUCCUUCCUUCCUGGUCUCAGCAUCUUGGGGACCACAUGUUCCAGAUACUGUAGCUAUAAAAAGGAGGCGGCUGCCCUACCCAUAUUAGAAUUUGUGUGAGC